This 337-nucleotide ribosomal RNA is filed under the name uncultured bacterium. Its description in RNAcentral is "bacterial SSU rRNA". It matches the Rfam family "Bacterial small subunit ribosomal RNA", at positions 173 to 507 of the family's 1533-position model. The record is from RNAcentral.
AUAAUGCAGCGGAUCCGCAUGGAUAUGUUGUUAAAGGUUUACCGCCUUGGGAUAGGCUUGCGUCUGAUUAGCUAGUUGGUGUGGUUAAACGGCACACCAAGGCUACGAUCAGUAACUGGUCUGAGAGGAUGAUCAGUCACACUGGAACUGAGACACGGUCCAGACUCCUACGGGAGGCAGCAGUGAGGAAUAUUGGGCAAUGCUCGAAAGAGUGACCCAGCAACGCCGCGUGGAGGAUGAAGGUAUUCUAUAUCGUAAACUCCUGUGAGAGCAGACGAAAGACAGAUUAUUAAUCUGGAUGACUGUAUGCUCAGAGGAAGCCCCGGCUAACUACGUG